Molecule: ribosomal RNA, 253 nt
Filed under: uncultured bacterium
Lineage: Bacteria
Description: partial 16S ribosomal RNA
Rfam family: Bacterial small subunit ribosomal RNA
Source: RNAcentral
UACAGAGGGGGCAAGCGUUGUUCGGAAUUACUGGGCGUAAAGGGCGCGUAGGCGGCCUUCUAAGUCGAACGUGAAAUCCCUGGGCUCAACCCAGGAACUGCGUCCGAUACUGGAAGACUUGAAUCCGGGAGAGGGAUGCGGAAUUCCAGGUGUAGCGGUGAAAUGCGUAGAUAUCUGGAGGAACACCGGUGGCGAAGGCGGCAUCCUGGACCGGCAUUGACGCUGAGGCGCGAAAGCCAGGGGAGCAAACGGG